This 888-nucleotide ribosomal RNA is filed under the name Oxalobacteraceae sp. CFBP 13708. RNAcentral describes it as "partial 23S ribosomal RNA". It matches the Rfam family "Bacterial large subunit ribosomal RNA", at positions 317 to 1209 of the family's 2925-position model. Lineage: Bacteria; Pseudomonadati; Pseudomonadota; Betaproteobacteria; Burkholderiales; Oxalobacteraceae. The record is from RNAcentral.
AUAGUCGAUCGGAUAGUGGAAGUCUCUGGAAAUAGACGCCAUAGAGGGUGAUAGCCCCUUACACGAAAUCUGAACGGUGGUACUAAGCAUACGACAAGUAGGGCGGGACACGAGAAAUCCUGUCUGAACAUGGGGGGACCAUCCUCCAAGGCUAAAUACUCGUAAUCGACCGAUAGUGAACCAGUACCGUGAGGGAAAGGCGAAAAGAACCCCGGGAGGGGAGUGAAAUAGAUCCUGAAACCGUGUGCAUACAAACAGUAGGAGCGGACUUGUUCCGUGACUGCGUACCUUUUGUAUAAUGGGUCAGCGACUUACAUUCAGUGGCAAGGUUAACCGUAUAGGGGAGCCGUAGAGAAAUCGAGUCCGAAUAGGGCGACAGUCGCUGGGUGUAGACCCGAAACCAAGUGAUCUACCCAUGGCCAGGAUGAAGGUGCGGUAACACGCCCUGGAGGUCCGAACCCACUAAUGUUGAAAAAUUAGGGGAUGAGCUGUGGGUAGGGGUGAAAGGCUAAACAAACUUGGAAAUAGCUGGUUCUCUCCGAAAACUAUUUAGGUAGUGCCUCAAGUAUCACCAUCGGGGGUAGAGCACUGUUAUGGCUAGGGGGUCAUUGCGACUUACCAAACCAUUGCAAACUCCGAAUACCGAUGAGUGCGAGCUUGGGAGACAGACAUCGGGUGCUAACGUCCGGUGUCAAGAGGGAAACAACCCAGACCGCCAGCUAAGGUCCCAAAGAUUGGCUAAGUGGAAAACGAAGUGGGAAGGCUAAAACAGUCAGGAUGUUGGCUUAGAAGCAGCCAUCAUUUAAAGAAAGCGUAAUAGCUCACUGAUCGAGUCGUCCUGCGCGGAAGAUGUAACGGGGCUAAGCCAGUCACCGAAGCUGCGGAUAU